RNAcentral lists this long non-coding RNA (3236 nucleotides) under Bemisia tabaci. RNAcentral describes it as "lncRNA ENSSSA1UGG012042". Lineage: Eukaryota; Metazoa; Arthropoda; Insecta; Hemiptera; Aleyrodidae. The record is from RNAcentral.
UGGCAAAAUUUUUCUGGUCCCUUUCUCUUUUUCGCCGCUUACGAAUUUGCCGGUAAAGGUACUGAAUGCUGGCAACGGCGUAGAAAGCGUCGAUAGUCGGCGAGCUAAAAUUACUCUUUUUUUCAAUUUUCUCCGAGAGGGUUUCGAACCGAGCCAUUCAAUCUGGCAAAACCGUGGCCGCUUGAAAAAAGACGAAGCAUCAGCUUUCGACGAAUACAAGAGUGAGAUAGACCGAUACGUGGAACGAAGGGAAGAAGAGGAACAGAGACAAAAGUACAGAAACGUAAGGAGAGCACCUGGUUUAAUGACACCUUGUUAACCGCACCAUUGUAAUGGUAAUAAACACGUACGACCAAUACGAGAGUGUUGACUCUCCGACGCUAAGGAGGGGUUGCUCCAAGGGAGUGUCUGCCCCCCAUUUAAGUCUACAGCCAUGAUUCCUUAUCCAUUUUGUGCGUUUGAGGUUUGCCGGUGUCACAUGUCACCGUGUGAGGGUUACGUCCAGUGAUAGUGUUCGUGGCUUUUGGUGUUUCCACUUUUCCUUUCCGCGCGUUCAAGUCUUUUCCAGUGUUUCUGAAAAGAGGUAUCCAGCAAAAAAGUGCUACGCUUUUUUUCGUGCGGAUCAAACAUGUUUGACAAGCUCGCAUUGGAAAUCCUCGCAUCUGUAGUGAUCGUGACGCUUAUACGCAGCGGAACUUGUGACGUGCCGUCAGACUGGCAAAGUGGUGCGGGAAGCAUAGCUCCCAGGAGCCUCGAUUCAAGGAGUGAUGCUGAAAGUAUAUCGCCCAGGGGCCCUGAGAUGGGGAUUAAUGCGGGUAGUAUAGAUCUUAAGGGCUCGGAAUCCGUUAAAGAGCGCACGGCGCGGGACUGGUCAACGACCGGUUCGACCGCCGGGAGUUACUACCCUCCAUCGAACGGCUAUGUCGGAGGUCCUAGCUACGUGGACAGCUAUGGAGUGCCCCAUUCGGAUUAUCAAUACCCAAACGCCGGAGCUAGCAGCUAUUCUUCUGAAGAGGCCAAACCCAAGCAAAGGCCAAUCGUCCCACCCAUUUUCCCACCCGUAUAUCAGGGAAUGCCGAUGACCCCAGUUGAGUGUCAAAUGGCGGGAUAUUCGAACGUUUUCGGAGACCUCUUCCGUUUCGGAGGGCUCAUCAAAGUGGGUCUCAUAAAAGCAGGUCUCACGGCCCUUGCGGCUGGCCUAUUAACCAAACUCCCUCUACUCCUUUUCAUCAAGACCCUUAUCGUUAAACUUAUCAUUUUCCCGAUCGGCUUCUUAGUUUUCUCCCUCCCUGUUCUCUUACCUCUUCUCCUUUUCUUCCUCCCCAACAUGAUGAAGGACAAGCAGCCCAUCAUGAUGAUGAUGACACCUGAAAACGCCAAUAACAGUACCAGUGGUGGGGGCAAGAGACCAGGCACUCGGGAUUUCCUGUACAGAGUGUCCGAUAAAAAUGGCGAAAAGGGAUACGAGGACGAAUACGAGGAGGAAUCUAGAAAAUCAAGGGACGCGGAUACCUAUCUAGACUCAAUUCUAAGUACGAUUUUUGACUCGCAACUGUGUCUGCAACGCAUUGCAUGUCAGCUCGGAGUCAGGGACGCGGAUUCCAAAUAUAGGAAGUCUGUUUCGUGGGCGCUGAAGUAUCUGCAGACAUUCAAAAUGGCUGAAAGCAGCCCCGAAAUUCAAGCAAGACUGAAAUCGUACAGGAAUGCCUACAACCUGGGUGCUGAGCAAAAUUCUACCGAAUUUUGCUCUUCAGACGAACGGUUCCCAUGUGAAACGCCACAUAUCGUCCUCAGACAAGCAAAGAGAUCGAUCACCUUAAUUUAAUCAGUUCACUUUGGAAACUGGAACCUUGGGAAUAAAUUUUACUCAAAGCAGUUGAACGGAUAUUCGCACAGUUACUUAUCACAGGACUGCAGAUCGUGUUGGAGAUCUCUAUACCUACACUUUUAAAUUCAUAUUCACAUGACAUAGAUGAUAUGUGUCACAUGAACUUCUUAAAAUUUUCAAUUCAGUCCCCAUAAAUCUUAGGUGGAGUUUUUUUUACUAUUAUUUACACAAAAGUGAAUAUACUAAAGAAAAAAUUGACACAUUUUUUCUGAAUUCCCAAAAACAAUAAAAACAUUUGCUUCUAUUUCUCAAGCCUCUAAUAACCAUCCUAAAAUAGUAGAAUAAUUUCAAUGAAGAUGAUGAAAUAGAACCGUUUAAUUUUGACUGAAUAUAUUUUCUUGUAAUUUCAAAAUACUUCUGAGACAGGAAACCUCAUUUAAGAGUUAAAAUAAUAUUGAGCACUAGUGCACAAUGUGUGGUGGUUGCUGCUCUAAAUUAUGGAAAUAUACCGCAUAAACACUAUAUUUUGCUGUGAGCUUCCUAUUAACAUCCUCUAAAAUAACCGUGAAACUGUUUUUCUUUGUCAUGUGUGAUUACAUCAUGGAUUUUAUGAAAAAUAGUUUGGUAUUAUGGGCUCACGCAUAUCCUGAUGAAUCCAUAUUGCUUAACUAUAGUAGCUACAACCGAACAAAAUAACGCUCUGUUUCCAUACAUGAGUAUAGAAAAAGACGCCAGUUUAGCAGUCAAUUGGUAAUGCACCACAACGCAACUUUAUCACUUUGUAAAUAUCUUUGUAUCAUUAAUUUAUUUGUACAUAAGUUGAAUAAUUAAGUCUGUAACUUAUCAUGUGCCAUUAUUCAAACAAAUAAAUGCAAAACCAGACUUAACUAUGAUUUAUUUACCUAAUUUCUUCAUGAUUUUAAGGAAACUCUCUCAUAAGGAAUUGAUUUGAAAUAUCAAGCAGACAUUUUCUUGAAACUACUUGAGUAUUUUUAGAAACGGAAGUAUUUCUGUCAAACGGAACUAAGCGCACAUUUGAGUUCUUUUUGAUGAAUUUAGAAUGCCGGAUAGCGCGUUCUGUCGAACGGAACUAAGCGCCAUAGAAAUGCAUUGCGAAUAUAGGACGGAAUGAGCCCGGCGCCCGGUUCCGCCGCCAAUCCAAGCCUCUCUCUACCUUCCUCCCCCUAUGGCGCUUGGUUCCGUUUGACAGAAGUACGUCCAAAUGGUGUUUGGCAAGAAAAAGUCUGACAUUAUUCGACAAGAAAGGAAAAAGUGAAAAGGAGGAACAGCAUAAGCUACGUGCUGCAGCAACAAACGGAAAAAUAAAGAUAUCAUAGCAUAAUAACAUGAAAACUUCCUUGAUUGGGCGAACGUUCAGUCUUUUCUUUUCUUGUAGCUUUUGAUGUAG